AACGAACGCUGGCGGCAGGCCUAACACAUGCAAGUCGAGCGAACCCUUCGGGGUUAGCGGCGGACGGGUUAGUAACGCGUGGGAAUAUACCCUUUGGUACGGAAUAGCCUCGGGAAACUGAGAGUAAUACCGUAUGUGCCCUUCGGGGGAAAGAUUUAUCGCCAAAGGAUUAGCCCGCGUUGGAUUAGAUAGUUGGUGGGGUAAUGGCCUACCAAGUCUACGAUCCAUAGCUGGUUUGAGAGGAUGAUCAGCAACACUGGGACUGAGACACGGCCCAGACUCCUACGGGAGGCAGCAGUGGGGAAUCUUAGACAAUGGGCGCAAGCCUGAUCUAGCCAUGCCGCGUGACGAUGAAGGCCUUAGGGUUGUAAAGUCCUUUCAGAUGGGAAGAUAAUGACGGUACCAUCAGAAGAAGCCCCGGCUAACUCCGUG
This 432-nucleotide ribosomal RNA is filed under the name uncultured bacterium. RNAcentral describes it as "bacterial SSU rRNA". It matches the Rfam family "Bacterial small subunit ribosomal RNA", at positions 29 to 507 of the family's 1533-position model. The record is from RNAcentral.